GACGAACGCUGGCGGCGUGCCUAAUACAUGCAAGUAGAACGCUGAAGAGAGGAGCUUGCUCUUCUUGGAAGAGUUGCGAACGGGUGAGUAACGCGUAGGUAACCUGCCUUGUAGCGGGGGAUAACUAUUGGAAACGAUAGCUAAUACCGCAUAACAAUGGGUGACCCAUGUCAUUCAUUUGAAAGGGGCAACUGCUCCACUACAAGAUGGACCUGCGUUGUAUUAGCUAGUAGGUGAGGUAACGGCUCACCUAGGCGACGAUACAUAGCCGACCUGAGAGGGUGAUCGGCCACACUGGGGCUGAGACACGGCCCAGACUCCUACGGGAGGCAGCAGUAGGGAAUCUUCGGCAAUGGGGGCAACCCUGACCGAGCAACGCCGCGUGAGUGAAGAAGGUUUUCGGAUCGUAAAGCUCUGUUGUAAGUCAAGAACGAGUGUGAGAGUGGAAAGUUCACACUGUGACGGUAGCUUACCAGAAAGGGACGGCUAACUACGUGCCAGCAGCCGCGGUAAUACGUAGGUCCCGAGCGUUGUCCGGAUUUAUUGGGCGUAAAGCGAGCGCAGGCGGUUUGAUAAGUCUGAAGUUAAAGGCUGUGGCUCAACCAUAGUUUGCUUUGGAAACUGUCAAACUUGAGUGCAGAAGGGGAGAGUGGAAUUCCAUGUGUAGCGGUGAAAUGCGUAGAUAUAUGGAGGAACACCGGUGGCGAAAGCGGCUCUCUGGUCUGUAACUGACGCUGAGGCUCGAAAGCGUGGGGAGCGAACAGG
Molecule: ribosomal RNA, 765 nt
Filed under: uncultured Streptococcus sp.
Lineage: Bacteria; Bacillati; Bacillota; Bacilli; Lactobacillales; Streptococcaceae
Description: bacterial SSU rRNA
Rfam family: Bacterial small subunit ribosomal RNA
Source: RNAcentral